GAAUCCUGUCCAGGAUGAAAAUUGUGAAGACAUAAAGCAAGACUACAUUCAGCUCCACAUCAAGAACAACACAAUUCCAAAGUGCUUUUGUGAAAGUUAUAUGCUCAAAUCAUUUCUUGUGGGUAGGAGACUGUAGCUGAUUGUUGAUUUAAAACAGCUUUCAGCCAUCUCACAAAAGAGAAUGCAAAAGCAUUUUAAAUAAUUAAAAGACUACCACCCUCACCCUCAAAUACCAAAUCUUUAUAUUGGCACAUAAAAUGUGCAACACAGAAAACUUGCUUUAUAGGUUAAUUAGUAUUAAUCCUGUCUAAAAUCUUUUGACCAGAAACAAUAUUAAAAAGUGCCUUCAUAAGUGCCUGACUCCUACCAAGCACACUCCUCCCUUUGCAAUUAGGUUCUCGUUGGUUCUUGCCUGCAAAAAUAAGACUCCAUUUCCAGAUGUAUCUUAUACACAGAAAAAGAAGAGGAUUAAAAUGGAGACUUCCAAAGAACACUUUUUAAGCACUAUGUCAGAUGCUUAAAUUCAUUUCCCUUUUGUUACAGUUUUAUGAAAGGGUUUUAAUUGCAUAAUGGGAUUAAGCCAGUGGAAUCUGAUCUGUAAAACCACAGGACGUAUUCCGCUGUUAACUGCAAGACCACACACUUGUUUACAUGAGUAUGUGUGUGAGAGAGAGAGAAUGGAAACUCUGAAUGGGGCCACACCACUAGUGAAUUUUUCUUGAUUGGUAAUACUGAAAUAUGUGUGUGGGCUGGCUUUCUUGUGGGUACACGGAGACCCCUUCCCAAACAACAGCACUUGAAUGUAUCCUAACAUAAAUACAGUCCUAGAUAUAUGCAUACAUGGUCUGAUAGGUUUCAUGUUUAUAAGUUGUUCUAUUUUCCCAGAAUUCUCUUUUCAUUUUAUCUGAGCAAGGAAAAAAACAGGAGCGAAAAUCAGGAGCAACUCUCUUGUUAUUUAUUCUCCAUCAACUUCAUCAGCAGAAGGACUUUCUGUCUUGGGAAAGCACCAGUGAACCAGGAUGAGAAGCUCUUCUUUGGACUGGAGGAUGCUCCAAGGAACAGCCUUGUUCACUGCAUGGCAGGUAUAUAUUCCGGCAUCCUUUUCCACAAUAGUGGUGAAGACAAGGUCCCCUGCUUCUUGGUGAACUCUGCCAGUAGUGGGGAUAUGAACAUUGUUUCUCUCCCACCAGAUACGGGGUUCAGGGAUCCCACGAGGAGCCACACAGACUCUUUCCUUCAGUAGCUGAAAGCUGUCAGGCAGCAUCCAGGCUCUGAUUGAAUUAAGAUACGUCCAUCCUCAUCAAGGUUACUUUAAUGUGCUUCUUCUGACCAAAUUCUGGGCCAGGACAGAAGAUCCAUUCUUUUAUAACAUUUUUUGCUGACUUGAGGAGGAAUAUCAGUUUCUCCAAUUUUUCUUUCCCUAGCUAUAAGCUGGAUGGAACAUCAGAGUAUGUUAGUAACAAAUAUGGUGCUCACAUUUUAUGUUGAAAGAUGCAUUUGUUGUCCGAGCUUCUUCUCCAGUAACUACAUUCCUGGCAACACACUGGAAGUUCCC
Molecule: long non-coding RNA, 1555 nt
Organism: Candoia aspera
Lineage: Eukaryota; Metazoa; Chordata; Lepidosauria; Squamata; Candoiidae
Exons: 4
Source: RefSeq, a predicted model, not a curated record